Molecule: ribosomal RNA, 351 nt
Filed under: uncultured Leptolinea sp.
Lineage: Bacteria; Bacillati; Chloroflexota; Anaerolineae; Anaerolineales; Anaerolineaceae
Description: bacterial SSU rRNA
Rfam family: Bacterial small subunit ribosomal RNA
Source: RNAcentral
GACCUUCGGGAGCUUGCACAGGUGCUGCAUGGCUGUCGUCAGCUCGUGUCGUGAGAUGUUCGGUUAAGUCCGCUAACGAGCGCAACCCUCGCUGUGUGUUACAAGUGUCACACGGUACUGCCGGUCUUAAGCCGGAGGAAGGUGGGGAUGACGUCAAGUCAGCAUGGCCUUUAUGUCCUGGGCUACACACACGCUACAAUGGCCAACACAAUAGGUUGCUAAGCCGCGAGGUGGAGCCAAUCCUCAAAGUUGGUCUCAGUUCAGAUUGCAGGCUGCAACCCGCCUGCAUGAAGAUGGAGUUGCUAGUAACCGCAGGUCAGCUAUACUGCGGUGAAUACGUUCCCGGGGCUU